UGACAAUGUACCUUUUUAAUUCCUCUUCAGAGCUCAUUGAGUUACUGUGCGAGAGACUCUGGAGCCAAAGCAGACAGAGAGGGUAAAAACAAACGAAAAGAAGAAACUUGUCUUGGUUCUUCAUCAUAGCAGGCAUGCAGGCAGGAAUUGGAGCAUCUCCAUGUAGCAGCGCAGUAGGCCCAGCGUGUAGGCGCUGGAGUGGACCUCUCUGACGGCGUCUUCGUAGCUGAAGGGGUCGACGAUAUACACCACAAUGGCAGGCGGGUAAGACACAGCGUGGGAUUCUCCGUCUGUUGGCUUCCCCACUUUGUCUCUCUCCAUUGUGCUGUUGAUAUAAAAAAAUAGAUAUAUUUAUAUAAAAGGCACAAAAUGAUUAAGAUAUCAGUCCUAAAGAAA
Molecule: long non-coding RNA, 396 nt
Organism: Perca flavescens (yellow perch)
Lineage: Eukaryota; Metazoa; Chordata; Actinopteri; Perciformes; Percidae
Exons: 3
Source: RefSeq, a predicted model, not a curated record